RNAcentral lists this ribosomal RNA (349 nucleotides) under uncultured bacterium. Its description in RNAcentral is "partial 16S ribosomal RNA". It matches the Rfam family "Bacterial small subunit ribosomal RNA", at positions 338 to 704 of the family's 1533-position model. The record is from RNAcentral.
CCUACGGGAGGCAGCAGUGGGGAAUAUUGCACAAUGGGGGAAACCCUGAUGCAGCGACGCCGCGUGAGUGAAGAAGUAAUUCGUUAUGUAAAGCUCUAUCAGCAGGGAAGAAAAGGACGGUACCUGAGUAAGAAGCCCCGGCUAACUACGUGCCAGCAGCCGCGGUAAUACGUAGGGGGCAAGCGUUAUCCGGAUUUACUGGGGGUAAAGGGAGCGGAGACGGCAGGGCAAGUCUGGAGUGAAAGGCGGGGGCUCCACCCCCGGACGGCUCUGGAAACGGUACGGCUGGAGUGCAGGAGAGGUCGGUUGCUUUCCUCGUGUCGCGGUGAACUGCGUCGCUAUUAGGCGG